This 370-nucleotide long non-coding RNA is filed under the name Bos taurus (domestic cattle). RNAcentral's name for it is "long non-coding RNA NONBTAT025259". The record is from RNAcentral. Lineage: Eukaryota; Metazoa; Chordata; Mammalia; Artiodactyla; Bovidae.
GACAAACAUCACUGAAGUUCUGUAAACUGCCAUAUAACUUACAUGUGUGUCACACAAUGUAUACCAAACAUGUGCAGAAACAAAAUUAAGUGCUAUUUUAAUUAUUCACCUUUUGGGAUGUGAAAACAUAUGUAAACAUAAUUGCACAGUUUUUGCUGAAAAUGAACAAAAGACAGCCUCUACCUAAGGACUUCAGUUGUAUAUCAGAAAGGAAAAGGUUCAUCAUAGUACAGUCCUAUGUGUUCAUACAACCUGACUUUAAUAUCCUAUCUGCUGCAGAAAUACCUAUCAGCGUGUGCUCUUUCAAAUCAGAUUGAAAAGCAAAGAAAAUAAAUUAUUUUAAAUUGCUAGUUCAAAGACAUUCAUAUGA